Molecule: long non-coding RNA, 2243 nt
Organism: Myxocyprinus asiaticus (Chinese sucker)
Lineage: Eukaryota; Metazoa; Chordata; Actinopteri; Cypriniformes; Catostomidae
Exons: 3
Source: RefSeq, a predicted model, not a curated record
AAGGCCUUAAUGGAAAUAUGCGGCCGUCUGUGUCCUGAACCUUUAAAUGGCUUCAGAAUCCAUCUCAAAUAUCGUGAUGGUUCCAUGAAGUCAAGGCGGUUCCUACCUACACAUUCAUUGCAGAACCUUGGUACAAUGAAAUUAGACCCUACGCCUGGUUCCGUGACUUCUUGCUAGAUGUGGAAGGUGGAGAAAUGCAGGUGGACCAAAGUAAAAACCUUACUCUGCAAGAGGUCUUGGCCUUUGCUUCCGGGCUGGAAGAGUUGCACCCACUGGGAUUCAAGAACCAGCCAAUCAUUGAUUUUAUAUACACAGACUGCAAAUUCCCAGAAGCUAACACAUGUGACGUAGUCCUCUGCCUACGGAUACAUAGGAGCUACGAGGAGUUCUGCCAGCACAUGUGCAGUGGGAUAUAGCAGGCUACAGAGUUUGGAUGACAUAAACCACGUCACAUUGUUUCUUGUUGUUUUUACAGUUUUGACAUUUGUUUUAUCAGCCAGACACUACUCAGACCUCUCCUCCCCACUCUUUCUAUCCUACUCUCAUUACCCCUCAGCUACCCCACUCCCUCUCCCUAACCUACCGAACAGGGUAUUAGUUAGGUGGUCCAUAGCACAGCCAGUUACCCAAAGCCCUCCACUCUUGUUCUAUAUCAUCUAUAGUUGUUUUUCACUUCUAUGCUGCAAGACUGAGCUCCACAGAGUAAGUUUGUUACUGUUGUAAGUUUGUUAGUUGUCCUCUGUCUUCUGAUGCAAACAAGCCAAAAGUAUUGCAGCAAAUGUUUGGAGAGUCACACAUUAAAACAACUAAAUUGUGUUAUAAGACUAAACAGCCCUUAUAUAAAGUUUAUAACUACUUUUGUUAGUUUUCAGUUAUAGUUUGCUGAGAAUCAUUAAUUUGGACAAGACAAAAUCCACUGAAAUUCAGUGAAUGAAGCAUAGACAUAAUGUUUAUUUUCAGACACAUCCAGCUGCUUCUUUGCUUUAAAUAUUAUCAGACCAGUUUGUCAGCAGCUUCACCACAGAAGGCAGAAGACACAUUUCUCACGUUUCUAUAAAGAGACUUACUGGAGUGGUCCCACAUUCAACUAAAACUAAAGGACAUUAACAGUGAAACAGUAAUCACUGUAUUAUUAUUACAGAUAAUCAGUAUAUUAUGGAAUUCAUUAUUAAGCAUUGCUGCUAUUUAAUGGUAUUAUGUAAUUGGCCUAAUUAUAUGACUUUGGAGUACCCCAAACAAAGUAGCCUACACCUCUCAUAUCUUGAUAUAUAUCGGAGGAGACCGACCACCUGUCAUAUCCAAAAAAAGUUCUGGAACUUGUAGGUGGUGUGGCCUAAAUGAUUGCCAUUCUAGACUAUAUCACUAACUGCUACUAUAUGUAUAUGUAUAUAUAUAUAUAUGGGCAAUUUAGGCUGGGUAAUUAGGUAGCUUCUGUUCAGUUUAACUCAGAACUUCAAAAUGUAGUUUUGUUUUGUGGGUUCAGAUUUCGAGACACUCAAAUCGUAUUUGGCCUUAAACCUAGAGCAUAAUUACACUGAUUACUGGCAACAUUGUCUACCAUUUGUAUUGUAUCAAUUCGACAGCAAACCAGAAAUUUUAAAACAAUAAAACAAUUAGACAAUGUGGAUAACAUGAAUGAAUCUUACAGUGGAUAAAAAUGCACAAUUCAGUUGGAAUGAUAACAAUAGAUGAAGCUUUGUAUUUUACACAUCUCCUGCUACAUCAUCUGUGACUACCACUGCUGUGCCUAUCUGAUCCCUCCUCUUUGGGUGGAAGAAACUAGUGAUGUCAAUUAAUCAAUAAUCAAAAUAUUUUUAAUUAACACCAAAGGCACUGCUGAGGGUUCAAUUGUGUGUACACUUGACAAAGAAUCACGAGUUUUUCACGGCCAACCUGGAAGGCUUUGGGGUCGGAAGAAAUUACAACUGGAAAAUGUCAGAGGUGUCUCGAAUGCAGCAUUAGUUGCAGUGAUUAGGGGGGCUGCUGUCCAAGGUGCUGAAAUAAAAAAAACAGUGAACUUUAAUAGAAACCAAGAGUUGUUUUUGUUUUCUUGUUACAAAAAUAUUUCUAAGGCAGAACACACCUGCAGACAGAAACAAUCUCAUUAUGUCAACCUGAGUGGGAGGAGCCAAAGCACAACAGCAACAACACUAAACCUCAGAGAGAAAUACAAGAGGUCAGAUAAAUUUGGCAUGUAGCCACUGCUAUCUGUAGCUACAUAGCCAAGCUGAUCAUAAAUGUGG